RNAcentral lists this long non-coding RNA (370 nucleotides) under Rhinopithecus bieti (black snub-nosed monkey). Its description in RNAcentral is "lncRNA (ENSRBIG00000045659.1)". Lineage: Eukaryota; Metazoa; Chordata; Mammalia; Primates; Cercopithecidae. The record is from RNAcentral.
GUUUUAGUGGAGUGUGGAGUGAGGGAUAUUCUUAGAAGAGGAUGAACACCAAACUGCUUGUUAUAGCUUGGCUAAGAUUUGCUGCACAUUUCCCAUGAGCAAGGCACUGUGCUAAGACCUUUGUAUCCCUGGGCAUUUGGUAUUACAGUUAAACUGUGUGCCUUUUGGCAAGCAAAUUUAGGAUGCUAUAUUGUGAUCUCAUGUCUGUAACAGCAUAUAUGAAGCAGAGAAGCAGGUUCUGAAGGCCCCUAGGGAAAACUGGACUUCGGGUGCAGCCUGGCCGGGGUGAUGGAUGAACAGUGACAGCUCCUGCCGAAGAGUAAACACAGAGAAAAAUAGAGGCCCUGGAGACAACCAUUUAGAAUGCUAG